GAUGAACGCUAGCUACAGGCUUAACACAUGCAAGUCGAGGGGAAACGGCAUUGAGUGCUUGCACUCUUUGGACGUCGACCGGCGCACGGGUGAGUAACGCGUAUCCAACCUUCCCAUUACUGUGGGAUAACCUGCCGAAAGGCAGACUAAUACCGCAUAGUCUUCGAUGACGGCAUCAGAUUUGAAGUAAGGAUUUAUCGGUAAUGGAUGGGGAUGCGUCUGAUUAGCUUGUUGGCGGGGUAACGGCCCACCAAGGCGACGAUCAGUAGGGGUUCUGAGAGGAAGGUCCCCCACAUUGGAACUGAGACACGGUCCAAACUCCUACGGGAGGCAGCAGUGAGGAAUAUUGGUCAAUGGACGGAAGUCUGAACCAGCCAAGUAGCGUGCAGGAUGACGGCCCUAUGGGUUGUAAACUGCUUUUGUAUGGGGAUAAAGUUAGGGACGUGUCCCUAUUUGCAGGUACCAUACGAAUAAGAACCGGCUAAUUACGUG
RNAcentral lists this ribosomal RNA (492 nucleotides) under uncultured bacterium. RNAcentral describes it as "partial 16S ribosomal RNA". It matches the Rfam family "Bacterial small subunit ribosomal RNA", at positions 28 to 507 of the family's 1533-position model. The record is from RNAcentral.